This 403-nucleotide ribosomal RNA is filed under the name uncultured bacterium. RNAcentral describes it as "partial 16S ribosomal RNA". It matches the Rfam family "Bacterial small subunit ribosomal RNA", at positions 29 to 526 of the family's 1533-position model. The record is from RNAcentral.
AUUGAACGCUGGCGGCAUGCCUAACACAUGCAAGUCGUGCGAGCGGCGGACGGGUGAGUAAUGUAUGGGGACUGCCUGAUGGCGGGGGAUAACUACUGGAAACGGUAGCUAAUCCCGCCUACCAUCCGAUCACCCAUAUGGGAUUAGCUUGUAGGUGUGGUAAAGGCUCACAUAGGCGACGAUCCCUAGCUGGUCUGAGAGGCUGAACAGCAAAACGGGGACGGAGACACGGCCCAGACUCCUACGGAGGAAGCAGGGGGGAAGAUUGCACAAGGGGUGCAAGCCUGAUGCAGCCAUGCCGCGGGGAUGAAGAAGGCUCUAGGGUUGUAAAGUACUUUCAGUCGGGAGGCGGUACCGAAAGAAGAAGCACCGGCUAACUCCGUGCCAGCAGCCGCGGUAAUAC